This is a long non-coding RNA of Apis cerana (Asiatic honeybee), 539 nucleotides long. RefSeq lists it as uncharacterized. Lineage: Eukaryota; Metazoa; Arthropoda; Insecta; Hymenoptera; Apidae. The record is from RefSeq and is a predicted model, not a curated record.
CGAUUAGCUUGAUUAUUACAUUAGGCAAAGACUGAUCUCUGACUAAUUCGCUUCGAGUUUCUGAAACAAUCCAGUUACAAGUUAAAAUUGAAACUCUACCAUGCUAAAAAUCUUCGAAGGAAGAAACUUCUAGUCCAGUUUUACGUAAGAUGGAACGAGUUCUUCUACGAUUCGAAAAUGUUAGAAGAAUCACGCAAAGUGACCUAUCGAAUGAAGAGGAAGAAAGGGAAGAGAGGGAAGAGGGUUAAUUUCCGCUCGAUCGAAGGGUCGUUGCUCGUCCUCGACCCGUCUUUGAAAUAAGGACACGCAAACAAGGACACAAAGCAAUCCAGUUUUCUCGUGAAUUCGUCCUUGACUUUUCACCUUUCAUUUUUUCACCGAAUUUUAAGAGAGGCGAAAGAAAAAAUUAGGUUAGAAGACCAAAAGAGAAAGUGUAAACGGGACAGAAAAAUUGGUCAGUCCAGGAAGUAGUCGGUGAAGCUCCAAUGCGAGACCAAGGAAGAAAAAAAAGAAGAAAAGAGAUUCGGCGGAUGGAAAGG